CAGAAAUAUCACAUACAUGCCUACAGCCAUUCCCACAGCAGGAACCUCUGAGGAAGUGUCGCAAUCUGGUAGUCACCUUCUUUCCAAGUUUGGUGUCAUCAUAGCUUCCAGGAAUUUCUCUCUGGCUGCCCUCUGUCUUUCGUUCAGUUUCUUCCCAAACAGACCAGACUGCUCCUCUUCAGGAGAAGAAAUUCCGCUGCGUCUUGACAUCUGGACAGGCUCAUCAGUGACAAGAAGGGAAAACACUUACGACAAGGAAAUAGGAGCCCAAAUGAUUGCCGAGCGGCGACCUGAAAUUUGAAGAAAAGAAUUUCUUAUCUGACGAAAAGUGUCGUGAAUGAUAUUUUCGUCCCAUCGCUCUUCUUGUGAAACAUUUGCGGCGCAUAAAUUAUGCGCUCAGGAGAAGAAUAUAAGAGAGUCUAGUUCGGGGAGUGACGUAAUUUUAGAUGGGAUACGUCUCGUGGCGAGGACCAACGACGACGACGUCUUGCUGCUCCAUGGUGUCCGUUUCUUUUUCCAGUUAGCCAAGCAUCAAUAAUCUUACCCCCCUUGGAAGUUUCAGCUGUUUCGAAAAACUCGGUCCUGCGACAAAAUGUCCUUUUCACAGACCCGUAUGAGGACAUAAUUCAAUAUGGAACCAGCUACAACCCGCGCGACCCAUUGAGGGCCAAUACACACACAAAAAACAGCCUAAGAAGAAGAAGUACAAGAAGGAGCAGAGAGAAGACUCGGAUCAAGAUUCCCGGAGCGAAAGGAACGCCGACCGCUGGAACAAAUAAACCCCGUCGUGAAAAUCGUCUCGUGAUGCACACCGUCUCUUCCCAGCACAGGGGGGAUUAUUGUAUGUCUAUCGUUAAAUGUAAUCUCUUCAUCCAGUUAGAACCGUGUAGACCCUAUCUAACCAGUUAACUCUAUAUUUUUCUUGAUGAUUGGAACAUGAAGGCUCACAGCAAUGACGACGAUGAUGAUCAUUACGGUACUGGACACACCUUGACCUCAUAACAGAAAAAGGAUUUCUCCGGCUGGAUAUUUCCAGUCGAUUGAAUUUAAAAAUUUUUAAAAUGAAAAUUUUCAUCCCAUGACU
This 1084-nucleotide long non-coding RNA is filed under the name Daphnia pulicaria. RNAcentral's name for it is "uncharacterized LOC124337625, transcript variant X1". Lineage: Eukaryota; Metazoa; Arthropoda; Branchiopoda; Diplostraca; Daphniidae. The record is from RNAcentral.